RNAcentral lists this ribosomal RNA (442 nucleotides) under uncultured bacterium. RNAcentral describes it as "partial 16S ribosomal RNA". It matches the Rfam family "Bacterial small subunit ribosomal RNA", at positions 338 to 795 of the family's 1533-position model. The record is from RNAcentral.
CCUACGGGAGGCAGCAGUGGGGAAUAUUGGGCAAUGGACGCAAGUCUGACCCAGCAACGCCGCGUGAAGGAAGAAGGCUUUCGGGUUGUAAACUUCUUUUAAGGGGGAAGAGCAGAAGACGGUACCUCUUGAAUAAGCCACGGCUAACUACGUGCCAGCAGCCGCGGUAAUACGUAGGUGGCAAGCGUUGUCCGGAUUUACUGGGUGUAAAGGGCGUGCAGCCGGAGAGACAAGUCAGAUGUGAAAUCCACGGGCUCAACCCGUGAACUGCAUUUGAAACUGUUUCCCUUGAGUGUCGGAGAGGUAGACGGAAUUCCUUGUGUAGCGGUGAAAUGCGUAGAUAUAAGGAAGAACACCAGUGGCGAAGGCGGAUUACUGGACGAUAACUGACGGUGAGGCGCGAAAGCGUGGGGAGCAAACAGGAUUAGAUACCCCAGUAGUC